UACGAAGGGAGCUAGCGUUGUUCGGAAUUACUGGGCGUAAAGCGCACGUAGGCGGAUUUGUAAGUCAGGGGUGAAAUCCCGGGGCUCAACCUCGGAACUGCCUUUGAUACUGCAAAUCUCGAGUCCGAUAGAGGUGGGUGGAAUUCCUAGUGUAGAGGUGAAAUUCGUAGAUAUUAGGAAGAACACCGGUGGCGAAGGCGGCCCGCUGGAUCGGUACUGACGCUGAGGUGCGAAAGCGUGGGGAGCAAACAGG
This 253-nucleotide ribosomal RNA is filed under the name uncultured bacterium. Its description in RNAcentral is "partial 16S ribosomal RNA". It matches the Rfam family "Bacterial small subunit ribosomal RNA", at positions 524 to 776 of the family's 1533-position model. The record is from RNAcentral.